Cricetulus griseus (Chinese hamster) is the source of this 4789-nucleotide non-coding RNA. The record is from RefSeq and is a predicted model, not a curated record. NCBI's taxonomy places the organism in Eukaryota, Metazoa, Chordata, Mammalia, Rodentia, Cricetidae.
UUGACAUGUGAAGCAGGCUUGUUUCUAAUUUGAAGUAAUAAAAAAUACUUUCUUGGAAAAAAUAAGGCAUUAAAAAAACCAAAAGAAAAGUUUUGGUAAUUCUUUGUUGAAAUACGAUUUUUAAUGAAAAAUGCUAAUUUAGAAUGCAAAUAGGUACUUGGGCCUUUAAAGAUCAGAUCAGUACCAAUGGAUGAAUGGAUCUUGCAUACAGCCAAUGUUGGUUCUUUUGACUAUAAAACUGGCUGUGUAGAAGCGAUUUCCAAAGCUAUGAGGAGACAUCAGAAUUCCAAAUGUUUUAAUUGUGGUAGAAUAGGCCAUCUGGAAAGAAAUUGUUCACAGAGCAUUAUUAGAAAUAAUACUUAUUCUGGGAAUGAUCCAAAAAGAAGGCCCCAAUCUUCUGGAUUAUGUAGAAGAUGUGGCAAAGGCCAACAUUGGCCAAUGAAAGUAGAUCAGCAAGAGAUGAAAAAGGCAACCUUUUAGCAUCUGGAAACUCCUUGUGAGGAGCUUCUUGCUGGCCCCCAUGUAGAAAUCGGUGUAGUCAUUCACUGUUACUUUGGAGGACAGUCCUCUCUCCAAAACAAUUAGGAAAUCCAGUGCCUAUUGUGAAAAACCACACUUCUCCAGAUAAUAGAAUAGCUUUGGAGGAUGAAUCAAAAAUUCAAGGAGGAAACAGGAAAUGUAUAUUUUGUCAGACUUCUAUAAAUAUCCAAAGACCAAAACUAAGAGUGCAAAUAAAUAAUGUUAUACUAGAAGGAUUACUGGACACAGGUGGCGAUGUCACCAUUAUCACUCCAGAAUCUUGGCAUCCAAGUUGGCCUCUUCAGGAAGUAGAUGUUAAAUUCUUAGGGAUUGAAACCCUAUCUUGGGUAAACAAAGCACGAGAUGGUUUGAAUGUAUAGGGCCAGAAGGACAAAGAGGAAGGCUGAGACCAUAUGUGGGUAAUAUAUAGCAAUAAAUAUAUGGGGUUGUGAUGUUACAGGAAUGGAAUACCCAGAUUAACAUUCCUUCAGUAUCAGAAAUGAACCAUAAAACAACUCAUGUUUGUGGAAAAAAUAUUAUAAAGCACUAUAAAAAAAAACAGUCUUCGAUUAUCCAGGCUGCACAAAACUAGAAUAUAACUAGUGUUGAACUUACAGAGGACCAAAAGCCCUAGCCUUAAAAUGGCUAACUGCCAUUUCUGACUGGAUGAAGUAAUGGCCUAUGACCUCUGAGGAGCUAGAGGCUCUAAAACAGCUGCUGUACAUAUUGAAGAAUCUAUAAGCCCUUAGAAUCCUCCUGUAUUUGUUAUUAUAAAGAAAUGUAGAAAAUGAGAAAGCUUACAGACCUGAGAGCCAUUAAUAAAGUAAUUCAGCCAAUGGGCUCUCUACAGGCUGGAAUACUCUUGCCUUCUCUGAUACCUAAAGAAUGACCUACUAUAGUUAGUGACUUAAAAGACUGUUUAUUCACUAUACAAGAGAAAGACAGGGAAAUUUUUGCCUUCUUGGUGCCUACUUACAAUAAUUCUCAGCUGGUGAAGAGAUACCAAUGGAAGAUCCUCCCACAGGGAAUGUGAAAUAGCCCCAUCAUGUGCCAAUAUUUUCUACAAAAGCCAUUGGAAAUAAUUUGUGUACAAUUUCCACAAUCCACAAUUUACGAUCAUAUGAGUGAUAUUUUAUUAGCUGAUCCAAAGACAGAGACAUUAAAAAUUUUCAAGGAAGUAAAGAAAGUUUUACCUCACUGGGGACUAUGAAUUGCUCUUGAAAAAAUACAGAGAGCAGAUUCUAUUAAUUACUUAAGAUAUAAAAUAGAUCACAAAAAAUUAAACCACAAAAAGUACAAAUCAGGUAAGGCAGGAUAUAAAUCAGGAGAUAUAAGUAAAGUGGUUCAAAGCCCUUAUAACUCUGUGCAAAAGAUAUAAUUAUAUGCCAUUCUUAUGGUACUAAUGGACUUUACAGAAUCUCUCAAUAUAGUUACUGACUCUCAACAUGCAGAGAGUUGUCUUACACAUGGAAAAUGAUGAAUUUAUUCCUAAUAAUACAGAAUUAACUUUGUUAUUUAUACAAUUACAGUUAAUAAUCAGGAAUAGGAAUCAUCCUAUAUAUAUUGAUUGAUUAAUAGGAGUCUGCUGGAGGUCUCAGUAUUUUUUAAAAAAACACCCUGUGAAUAGCAAAGGUUUAAUAAAAGAAUUUUUCCAUCACUUGGCAACAAGCCAAGGAAAUUGUAAAAAAAAUGCCCUCCAUGUUCCUUCUAUACAACCAAACUCCUUUAUCUGUGGGAAGUAACCCUAAAUGUAUGCAUAGAAAUGAAAUUUGGCAAAUAGAUGUGCUUCAUUUUGCAGAAUUUGGAAAAUCAAAAUAUGCACACAAUACAAUAGACACAUAUUCAGAAUUCUGAUUGGCAACUGCUUUGAGCUCUGAAAGCAGUUGCCAAUUGGAACUUGCCCAGUUCCAACUGGAACUCUAGGUCUUAGCUAACAUUGGUUGCCCCUUAAUGUUUGUGAGACCUUUGAUGACUGUCCAGGUAGCCAACUGUUUCUGUCAUUUCUUGCAUCUUUGGGAAGUCACCUGCUUGCACUUCCUGCUUACCCUAACAAAGUUAUUUUUCUUUUCAGGUCUUUGAUGAAGUUGAAGACUAUGUAGUCACAGCUAACAUCCUCUCUUAGCUAGAGCAUAUUAGGUACAAGACUUAUGCUUUCCAGAAUAGGACAGCUAUUGGGGUAAUCUUUGUUAUAUGCCAUUACCUUUGACCUGGACAUUUAGUAUGUUUCUUGCUUAAUGUUGCUCUUACUGGUUGUAGGUCUGAAUUCAUGUAUGUUUUACCUUUCUUUCUCCUGGGCUAUACUUGAUAUCUGUUGUCAUUAUAUAUGGUUUUUGUAUCAGGUUUAAAACCCUCAUAUUUAUACAAAAAUGGGAAAUGUAGUGUCAUCUUGUUCCACCAAUACACUUGUGGUAAUGGUCUUCUGUGUGUGGAUGUGAUCCCUUAUAAGGAAGAGGAGGGGCCUCACUAGGGCUUUCUCUUGGUUGUAGUCUGAGAGUCCUGCAUCACAGGCCCUGUGCCUCCAGGGGCAGAAGACUGUAGUGGUUAUUUUCCUUCAUUGUGUGAGUGCUCCCCAAAUGAAUAUAUGUUAUUCUUUUUUUGGGUGUUCAUGGACUUCCUUUAACCCUCCUUCAGAUGAAAGUCAUGCUGACUGUGGUGAGAGGAUCUCCAGUAAAUUUUAAUUUGUGUUUCCCUGAUGGCUGAGGAUGCUGGACACCUUUUCACAUGUUUCCUAGCCACCUGUAUUUAUUCUUCUGAGAGCCAUCUACUCAAUUCAUUAGUCCAUUUGUUGUUUGUUUAUUUUUGUGUUUAAUUUUUGUAGUUCUGUAUAUGCCCUGUCUAAUGCAUAAUUAGUAAAGACUUUUCCCAUUCUGAAGAUUAUUUCAGUUCCCUUGUGAUGCUUAAGCUAUUUAAAUUAGUGUGGUGACAUUGUCAUCUUAGAGAGGUUUCUUCCUGUGCUACUGAAGUUCUUUUCAGAAUAUCCUUUCUUGUGCCUAUAUUUUGAAGUAUUUUCUCUUAGCGGUUUCAAGGUUUCAGUUCCCAUACUGAGGUCUGAGUUUGUUUUUGUGCAUGGUAGGAGAUAAGGGCCUAGUUUCAUUCUUCUAAAUGUGGGCAUCCAUUUUUUCCAAGUUAGGUAGGUGGCUGAAUCAAUGUAGGUUUUUCCCCCGAGUCUAUGAUUCUACUUCAUUGGUUUUGUAUCUGUUUUUGUGACAGUACCAUGCUAUUUUUGUUAUUAUGGUUCUGAUCUGUAAUUUGAGGUCCAGUAUUGUGAUAUCUCCAGAAUUUAUUUUUCCUAAAGAUUGCUUUGACAUUUUUGAGUCUUUUGUGCAUGCAUAAUGGAUUUUAGGAUUACUUUUUCUAGUUCUAUAGAGAGGGUCAUUGAGAUUUUGAUGCAGAUUAUAUUGGAUCUGUAGAUUAUUUCCAGUAAUAUAGUCAUUUUCAAAAUAGACAUUCUACCAAUCCAUGAAUGCAAUUCUAUCUUCUCCAGUUUCAUUUUUCAGUGUCAUAAAGUUUUCAUUAUAGAGGUCUUUUCACUUCCUUGGAUAGGUUUAUUCCUAAUUAUUUGUUUUAAAUUUUAAAUUGUUUAAUUUGUAUUGUUGUUUUACCUGCCUUCUUCCCAGCAUCCUCUCUGCCCAGAAAGACUCAGAACAAUCAGGAUGGACACUAUAGAGAUGAGAUAAUAAAGCCACAAAGCAGAAAAUUGGAAAGAAGAAAUGAAUCACUUCCAGUCAUGCAUUUUCCUGAUGAUUUUGAAAAAUGAUUUAUUUAAUGAGCAUGGACAUUUUGCUUCCAUGUGUGUCUGCUUACCCCAUGCACUUAGCAUUUGCAGAAACAAGAAGGGCGUCAAAUCCCCUGAAACUGAGGCUAAAGAUGGUUCAUCGUGAGCUGCUAUAUGAGUCCUGGGAAUAAAACACAGGUCCCUGGAGGGCAACUGGUGUCAGUGAGCCGGAUGACCCCAUGCCCCAAGGUUCCCAGAGAAAGAGGGAAACCUGCCACCACAGCCUGCCCUGUCUGGCUGCUGAGAGGCAUCGGAGCAGCUCCCAUAGGCUCCCGCCGUCCCCGCAUGCUUGUGGUUUGGACUCCUGCACUCCGGAGACGGCCUGCAGCCCUUGAGGGUUCUAGGGUUAGGAUUCUGAGCUCUCACCGCCACAAGCCGCCUUCCUGUCUUCUGGAGACUAGUCAAAAAGUGGCAGAACCCCGGGUAGCUGGAGGUAGUGUUACGAACUUCCAUGUAAACUUCACAAAAGCUUAAAAAGGGAUCUUAGCAGCAAAA